AUUUCUAGAGAUAGAAAGUUACUUCGGUACAUCGGUGACAGGUGGUGCAUGGUUGUCGUCAGCUCGUGUCGUGAGAUGUUGGGUUAAGUCCCGCAACGAGCGCAACCCCUAUUGUUAGUUGCCAUCAUUCAGUUGGGCACUCUAGCGAGACUGCCGGUAAUAACCGGAGGAAGUGGGAUGACGUCAAAUCAUCAUGCCCCUUAUGACCUGGCUACACACGUGCUACAAUGGUUGGUACAACGAGUUGCGAGUCGGUGACGGCGAGCUAAUCUCUUAAAGCCAAUCUCAGUUCGGAUUGUAGGCUGCAACUCGCCUACAUGAAGUCGGAAUCGCUAGUAAUCGCGGAUCAGCACGCCGCGGUGAAUACGUUCCCGGGCCUU
Molecule: ribosomal RNA, 380 nt
Filed under: uncultured Streptococcus sp.
Lineage: Bacteria; Bacillati; Bacillota; Bacilli; Lactobacillales; Streptococcaceae
Description: bacterial SSU rRNA
Rfam family: Bacterial small subunit ribosomal RNA
Source: RNAcentral